UCCGGCGAGUUUUGCUGGCGCCGUGAGAGGGUGGGUUAUUGUCCUAAGUUCUGUUUUAUGAGGUUUGGUCGAGGUGUUGUGGUGGGUAAAGAGGGAUCCACCAAGAAGCUUGUGAUAUUCUGGUGAGUUUAUGUUUGGUUUGGGUUGUUUGUCGGUUCCUAUCUGGUUUCUGGUACGCGGUGGUUGUAUUCAGCCGGUUCAGAUGUGGGUGCUUAAGCUUUCUUGGAUCUGGUCAGACAACCUUCCAAACGAGGCAUCAGAUGUCAGAGAUCUUCUGGUCAUCUUCCUGUCAGCUUCUUUUCUUCUGGCUCUAUUUUCCGGCGACCUGACUCCCGUGUUUCGGGCUUCGUCUCUGGCUUACAGUGGCUAUCUUAGCACUAUAAGGCUGGCUUUUGGCUCUGACGGUGUCCCUUUCUGUCCGGGAAUCGUUGGCCUUUGUCUCGGAUCAAUCGUUUGAAUAUGAAUCAUGUUUCAGAUUGGAAGUUUGCGUGAAGUGAAGUUGGAAACUUUGGUUUGGUCUGUUGAAUACAUUAGCGGCAGGUCCUCCUAUAUGGUUGCUUAAUUGCUUUGUGAAUGAGGAAGUCCAAUCCUCUGUUUAAUGGCUAUGAGUAGUCUUUGGAAUUCUUUUUUGGUAUAGGUAUGGCGACGGAAAGUGUAUUAUCAAGGCACGCCAGGAAGAUUGCAACAAAACUUGUUGUCCAACCAAAAUAGUAUGAUGUAACAACACUAGAUUCCGAAAGUAUAAUAUCUCCAUCGUGUAUUUGAGCAUGAAGUAGAUAAAAAGUUGCAAUACCUCAUAUCUUUGAAAGCUAUUGCUGAUUACUUCAGAACUCAAGGUGGAAGAUGAAGAUGAUUGCUAUGAAAGCGAAGAAUCUGCAGAAGAUUCUCGCAGACCUGCAAAAUCUUUUGGUGAUGCAUAUUCAAAUCAGUUAUUCCAUCUGUUCGAAGACCUUCCUCGACCACUCUAUUGUUUUCUUCUCUGUCCAUCACUGCAUAUCAUUAAAGAGAGUCCAAUCAAUACUCGUUUCAAUCAGUAAAGGAACAGUUUUCCUAUAAAAACUCUAACAAAAGUAUUACUUAAUGUUGUUUCAUUGUGAUUUCUGUGUGGCAUACUGAAAAUGAAUUUUAAUGCAGAUACACAAUAAUAGUGUCCAAGUCAAUAAGAUUAUUUAAAAUAAUUUUCAGUUUUCAUUCAAUAAAUCUAAGGCAUAAAUUUUCUUAGAAUUUAUAAAAUAUUUGAAUUGUUGUAAAUAUUGAUAUGCGUUCAUGAGCUUCUAAAAAUUUGUGAGUUACUUAUGUAUGUAACCCUAUAGAUCUCCGCUUUAUUUUCUAAUAUUUUUUAAGAAAUGAACAUAUAAUUUGAUAAAUUUUAUGAAAAUACAUGCACAUUUAAGCAAUAAAUAAAACUAUUUUGAUUUGACUUAAUUAUAAUCAGAAAUAACUACAAUUGAGUUUGAGUUUUAAAAAUAAAUGUAACUCAAUAUAUGUACUCACAACAUGAGUGACUCAACUAAUCCAACUUAUAUCUAAAUUCAUAGAUUUAACUACAAUAAAAUAUAUAAUUUUAUAAUAAUGAUUUAUCCACUUUAUAAAUAUAAAUUAUAGGAUGACUGAAAACAUAUUAAUAAAUAAAAAUAAAAUAUUAACCAACUGUUACAGUUUAGUUAUUUUGUAAAAUUUAUAUAUAUGCAUGAGACUUUAUUAUAUUAUCAUUAUAUUAAUAUAUGUAAUUUGGAACUGUAGUUUAUUUUUUAUUUUUUCAUUUUAAGCACAAUAAUCUUAAGUUAAAUAAUAAUCUUACUAAAAUAUAUUUACAUAUCUAAGACAACAAUCAACCUAAAUGCAAAUAAGAAAAUUAAUCAAAAUUUUAAUUUAUUUAAAAUAAAAAAAAUAUUAUAGUUGAAUUUAUAGGAAUCGAUGAAAUCCAAUAUAUCUAAAUGAGAAUUAAAUUGAUUAUAAGAGCAACAAAACCGACGAGAUAUAACAUAUCAAAAAUUAUAUGUGUAAUUAAUGUAAUAUAAAAUUAUUAAUAUAAAUUAUACAUACAAAUAAUGAAGUAACAUAAAAUUAAAGUAAAUUUCAAUCAAUUAUUAUAAUAUAUUUACUUUAUAAAUAUUAAAAAUCUGUGCAUAAACACGGGAAAGUCAUCUAGUAAAUAUUUUAAAAGAAGUUGAACAUGAUAAAACCGAAUCAUUUUCUAUUGUUCUUCAUUUAGUAGUAGCAUAGAUAUGGUUGAAUAAUUUAUUACCUCUUUUUACGUAAUUAAGAGUACCAAACAAAAAGUAGAUCUAGAUCUUCUCUCUCCGGUGUCCGGCGAGUUUUGCUGGCGCCGUGAGAGGGUGGGUUAUUGUCCUAAGUUCUGUUUUAUGAGGUUUGGUCGAGGUGUUGUGGUGGGUAAAGAGGGAUCCACCAAGAAGCUUGUGAUAUUCUGGUGAGUUUAUGUUUGGUUUGGGUUGUUUGUCGGUUCCUAUCUGGUUUCUGGUACGCGGUGGUUGUAUUCAGCCGGUUCAGAUGUGGGUGCUUAAGCUUUCUUGGAUCUGGUCAGACAACCUUCCAAACGAGGCAUCAGAUGUCAGAGAUCUUCUGGUCAUCUUCCUGUCAGCUUCUUUUCUUCUGGCUCUAUUUUCCGGCGAC
Molecule: long non-coding RNA, 2634 nt
Filed under: Brassica napus (rape)
Lineage: Eukaryota; Viridiplantae; Streptophyta; Magnoliopsida; Brassicales; Brassicaceae
Description: long non-coding RNA (BNAP_LNC002162)
Source: RNAcentral